GACGAACGCUGGCGGCGUGCCUAAUACAUGCAAGUCGAACGCAGUGGGGACGGGUGAGUAACACGUGGGUAACCUCCCAUCAGAGGGGAUAACACUUGGAAACUGGUGCUAAACUGAUACUGAAUGAUGGACCCGCGGUGCAUUAGCCAGUUGGUGAGGUAACGGCUUACCAAGGCCACGAUGCAUAGCCGGCCUGAGAGGGUGAUCGGACACACUGGAACUGAGACACGGCCCAGACGCCGACGGGAGGCAGCAGUAGGGAAUCUUCGGCAAGGGACGAAAGUCUGACCGAGCAACGCCGCGUGAGUGAAGAAGGUUUUCGGAUCGUAAAACUCUGUUGUUAGAGAAGCGGUAUCUAAACAGAAAGCCACGGCUAACUACGUGCCAGCAGCCGCGGUAAUUC
RNAcentral lists this ribosomal RNA (403 nucleotides) under uncultured bacterium. RNAcentral's name for it is "partial 16S ribosomal RNA". It matches the Rfam family "Bacterial small subunit ribosomal RNA", at positions 28 to 526 of the family's 1533-position model. The record is from RNAcentral.